GACGAACGCUGGCGGCGUGCCUAAUACAUGCAAGUUGAGCGAUGAAGAUUGGUGCUUGCACCAAUUUGAAGAGCAGCGAACGGGUGAGUAACGCGUGGGGAAUCUGCCUUUGAGCGGGGGACAACAUUUGGAAACGAAUGCUAAUACCGCAUAAUAACUUUAAACAUAAGUUUUAAGUUUGAAAGAUGCAAUUGCAUCACUCAAAGAUGAUCCCGCGUUGUAUUAGCUAGUUGGUGAGGUAAAGGCUCACCAAGGCGAUGAUACAUAGCCGACCUGAGAGGGUGAUCAGCCGCAUUGGGACUGAGACACGGCCCAAACUCCUACGGGAGGCAGCAGUAGGGAAUCUUCGGCAAUGGACGAAAGUCUGACCGAGCAACGCCGCGUGAGUGAAGAAGGUUUUCGGGUCGUAAAACACUGUUGGUAGAGAAGAACGUUGGUGAGAGUGGAAAGCUCAGCAAGUGACGGUAACUACCCAGAAAGGAACGGCUAACUACGUG
RNAcentral lists this ribosomal RNA (497 nucleotides) under uncultured bacterium. RNAcentral's name for it is "partial 16S ribosomal RNA". It matches the Rfam family "Bacterial small subunit ribosomal RNA", at positions 28 to 507 of the family's 1533-position model. The record is from RNAcentral.